Molecule: unclassified non-coding RNA, 506 nt
Filed under: Hevea brasiliensis (rubber tree)
Lineage: Eukaryota; Viridiplantae; Streptophyta; Magnoliopsida; Malpighiales; Euphorbiaceae
Source: RNAcentral
AUAGUAAAGUUUAGUGGGAAAAAAUGGGUUCUAAGACAUUUAUGUUCCUUGGCCUUUUUUUGGCUAUUUAUGUAAUGAUAAGCUCUGAGGUUGUAGCUAAAGAGUUGAGUGAGACUUCAGAAGAUAAGCCAAAGAAAUCCAAUAACAAGAAUGUAGUACAUGAAGACCAAUUUGGUGGCUACCCUGGUGGCGGAUACCCCGGCGGUGGUGGCGGAUAUCCUGGCGGUGGUGGUGGAUACCCCGGUGGUGGUGGCUACCCUGGUGGGGGCGGAGGCUACCCCGGAGGUGGAUACCCUGGCGGUGGCCGCGGUGGUGGUGGUGGCUACCCUGGCGGCGGUCGUGGUAGAGGCAGAUAUCCCGGUGGUGGCCGCGGUGGUCGCGGACGUGGUGGAUAUCCUGGCGGCGGACGAGGUGGUGGUGGAUACCCUGGCGGUGGACGUGGCGGCGGUGGAUACCCUGGCGGUGGACGUGGCGGCGGUGGAUACCCUGGCGGUGGACGUGGCGGC